Molecule: ribosomal RNA, 137 nt
Filed under: uncultured eukaryote
Lineage: Eukaryota
Description: partial 18S ribosomal RNA
Rfam family: Eukaryotic small subunit ribosomal RNA
Source: RNAcentral
UGGUGGGGUGACCCGUCUGGUUAAUUUCGAUAACGAACGAGAUCCGAGCUGUUUAGUUGGCCAAUAUUACUUUUGUAGUGUUAUGUCUCCUAUAUGGACUGUCAGUUUGAGGCUGAAGGAAGUUUCGGGCUAAAUCA